AGUAAGCUCUUGAAACUGGGAGACUUGAGUGCAGGAGAGGAGAGUGGAAUUCCUAGUGUAGCGGUGAAAUGCGUAGAUAUUAGGAGGAACACCAGUUGCGAAGGCGGCUCUCUGGACUGUAACUGACGCUGAGGCACGAAAGCGUGGGGAGCAAACAGGAUUAGAUCCCCUGGUAGUCCACGCUGUAAACGAUGAGUACUAGGUGUCGGGGGUUACCCCCUUCGGUGCCGCAGCUAACGCAUUAAGUACUCCGCCUGGGAAGU
RNAcentral lists this ribosomal RNA (263 nucleotides) under Clostridioides difficile. Its description in RNAcentral is "partial 16S ribosomal RNA". It matches the Rfam family "Bacterial small subunit ribosomal RNA", at positions 618 to 881 of the family's 1533-position model. Lineage: Bacteria; Bacillati; Bacillota; Clostridia; Peptostreptococcales; Peptostreptococcaceae. The record is from RNAcentral.